AUAUGCACACAUACACAUAUAUGAAUUGAUGGAUCUCCAGUUUCUAUGAUGAUUAUUCCAGUUUUUCAAUCAGCUGAAGCACCUCCUUCCUUUUUAUCAACACCUAAGUGGCUGAGUACUCCACAGACACAGUGAACUUCAGGUCCAAUCCUCCCAGCAGGCUUCCUUACAGCCUCCAUCUUCUCCAGCUUCACUCAUGAGCCAUAGGUUGAACCUGGCACUUAGGGUCCCAGUUAUGAUGACAGUUAGGGUCCCAGCUGAUCCGAUCAACAGAACAGCCUGCUUGUGAAAUUAACAUAAAAGUGGCUGAGCACUCCACAGACACGUGAACCCUUAACAUAGUUUUCAAGGAGACCCAGCAUGACACAGAGAGUAACAAGGGCUGGGCCCCUUUGAAAUACAGGCACAACUCAUUUUUGCCAGCUGAGUUGACUAGGACGACAUGAAAUGAAGCGUCUUGCUCAAGGACGCAAUGUGCAGCCAGGAUUCGAAAUCAUGACCUUUUGAUCAUGGGUCAAAUGCCGUUAACCACUGAGCCACACACCUUCGGGCUGAACCAAAGCUGUGUUAAAAUACAAUCGCUCAAUAUGUCAUGCUGUGGGAUUGAAACCAGGACCUUUUAAUUGCAAAGUGGGUCCUUAACCAUUGAGGCAGAUGUGUGUGUGUGUGUGUGUGACUGUCUCUUUGUGUAUGUAUAUGUAUAUAUGUGUAUAUAUAUAUAUAUGUGUGUGUGUGUAUAUAAGUAUAUAUGUGUGCGUGUGAGCGCAAUGUAUAUUCAUAUGUAUGUAUAUACAUGUGUGUAUAUCUAUAUGAACGUAUAUACAUAUGUAUUUAUAUACAUGUGUGUGUAUAUUUAUAUGAAUGUAUAUAUGUGUGUGUGUGUGUAAUGUAUAUGCAUAUGUAUUUAUUUACAUGUGUGUGUAUAUUUAUAUGAAUGUAUAUAUGUGUGUGUGUGUGUAAUGUAUAUGCAUAUGUAUUUAUAUACAUGUGUGUGUAUAUUUAUAUGAAUGUAUAUAUGUGUGUGUGUGUGUAAUGUAUAUGCAUAUGUAUUUAUAUACAUGUGUGUGUAUAUUUAUAUGAAUGUAUAUAUGUGUGUGUGUGUGUAAUGUAUAUGCAUAUGUAUUUAUAUACAUGUGUGUAUAAUUAUAUGAAUGUAUAUAUGUGUGUAAUCUAUAUGCAUAUGUAUGUAUGUAUAUACAUAUGUAUAUUUAUAUGAACGUAUAUAUAUAUAUAUGUGUGUGUGUGUGUAACACAUAUACAUAUAUUUGUAUAUACAUGUGUGUGUGUGUAAUAUGCUUAUGAAUGUAUAUGUGUAUAUAUAUGUUUGUAUAUGUGUGUGUGUGUGUUUAUAUCUGAAAGUAAUGUGUAUGCAUAUGUGUGUGUGUGUGUAAAGUUGUUGAAACAGUUUAAACACUUGUAGCUCAUAUCAACCCCUGACCCCAUAAAAAAGUGCAGUGGGGGCAGUGCAUCCAUCAGCUGAGAUUUGAUCUGACGUGCCCACAUCCUUCAUUGCAAUAUCAUAUGCACCAUGUACGUAUGUGUGUGUGUGUUUGUAUAUCUACGACCCCUAAUUCCCAUCACUUUCCAGAACUAUUUAAACAGACUCUGCAGUGCCCCCCUCCCCACCCACUGCCACCGACCCCUUUUUUUUCUCAUCAGUAACUCUGUGUAACAGGAUUUUUGUCCUUAGGGAGCAAAUGUUAUUUCCUGUUUGUUGACCCCUAGAAACUAUGGAAAAUUACUAAUAUUCCCUUCAAACUUCUUUUGUUACGAUAUUUAGUCAAACCACCAAAGAAUCCCUCUUAAAACAUUGCUAUGAUGCUCCCCCAUUGCUCCUGUUGAAAUGCACAUGUUGUCAACCACUAAGGGACAGGCUCAACUGUUUAUGGUCAAGCAAAUGGCUAGCAGAUAAAAUAAAUAAUAAUAAUGAAAUUAUUGUAUACAGUGCUCAGGUGCACCACAACUUGUCAAAAAGUGCGUAUAAAGUAUAUGCAGUGAUGUACAAAUGUCUGGGAGGUGAACAGUGUAUGAGUCAGAUACAUGCUUGCGUGUGUAUAUGGAGGAGAGAAAAUCUGGUGUAAGUGUUGGCGAAUCUCAGGAAGCAUGGAAGUUUUGAAGGAUGCAGUGCUUCGACAACUAACAACUGAUGCCGGCAGUUUGUUCCAUGCUUCAGCGUGUGUAUGGAGGGGAGAAAAUCAGAUGUAGUGUUGGCGAAUCUCUCAGGAAGCAUGGAAGUUUUGAAGGAUGCAGUGCUCCGACAACUAACAACUGAUGCCGGCAGUUUGUUCCAUGCUUCAGCGUGUGUAUGGAGGGGAGAAAAUCAGGUGUAGUGUUGGUGAAUCUCUCAGGAAGCAUGGAAGUUUUGAAGGAUGCAGUGCUCCGACAACUAACAACUGAUGCCGGCAGUUUGUUCCAUGCUUCAGCGUGUGUAUGGAGGGGGGAAAAUCAGGUGUGUGGUAUUGAGCAGAAUGUUUGCUAUAAUGAUAUUUCUGCCUCAGCAAAUCAGAGCUGGGUCUGUCAGAAAUGUAAUGGAAAAUAGUUCAGUUUGAAGACAUUGAUGUCCAAGUGGCAAAAGUAAGGUUUUAAGGGAAUACUAGUGAUUUCCUUUGAUUUCUAGAGAGAAGCAAAUAGCACCUACUACCCAAAGACAACAAGCUAAUCUGUGGUAUUGAGCAGAAUAUUUGCUAUAAUGAUAUUUCUGCUUCAGCAAAUCAGUGCUGAAUCUGUCAGAAAUGUAAUGGAAAAUAGGUCAGUUUGAGAACAUAGAUGUUUGGGGACAAAAGCAAGGUUUGAAGGGAAUAAUAGUCAUCUCCUUUGAUUUCUAGAUAGAACCCAAGAGGAAUUAAUGCCUACUGACCAAAGGCAACAAGCAAAUCUAUGGUAUUGAGCAGAAUAUUUGCUAUAACGAUACUUCUGCUUCAGUAACUCAGUGCUGAAAUGUAAUGGAAAAUGGGUCAGUUUCAAAUCAUUGAUGUUUGGGUGAUAAAAGCAAGGUUUUAAGGGAAUAGUAGUGAUUUCCUUUGAUUUCUAGAGAGAAGCAAACAGGAAAUAACAUUUACUGACCAAAGACAAAAUAAAAUUUUAAAAAAAGAAUAAAAAAUUCUGUUGCACUAUGUAAUUCAAGGAUUUGCUGUGUUCCAAGGACAGACCUUUCACUGUAAUCAAAAAAGGAAAGACAAAAAGAAAACACCCCACACAACCACCAUCCCCACCAUCAUAGAUUUUAUUGUUGCCAAAAAUCUAUGAAAAAAAAAAAAAAUUCUUUUUCCUGAACAGAAAUAUAAUAAAUAAAAAAAACAGCUAAUGGAAAAAAAAUAUAAAAUAAAACUGCGUAUUUUCCUCA
This 3343-nucleotide long non-coding RNA is filed under the name Octopus vulgaris (common octopus). The record is from RNAcentral. Lineage: Eukaryota; Metazoa; Mollusca; Cephalopoda; Octopoda; Octopodidae.